CAGAUAGAGGUUGCGAAUGACAUGAGUACGCUUGAUUGACACGGACGCAUUCCGGAUCGAGCCGAAAGGGGAAUUUCGCCGAAGUCGACGUUCGCAUGCGUACGAACGAAGGCUGGGGUAGUCGUGAAUAACGCCUACACUGCCAUGGAUGAAAUGCCAUGGAGCGCUAUCU
RNAcentral lists this non-coding RNA (172 nucleotides) under uncultured Exiguobacterium sp. Its description in RNAcentral is "Lysine riboswitch". It matches the Rfam family "Lysine riboswitch aptamer". From Rfam's summary of the family: Riboswitches are metabolite binding domains within certain messenger RNAs that serve as precision sensors for their corresponding targets. Allosteric rearrangement of mRNA structure is mediated by ligand binding, and this results in modulation of gene expression. Lineage: Bacteria; Bacillati; Bacillota; Bacilli; Caryophanales. The record is from RNAcentral.